AAUCGACAGCUGUGACCGUUUUAUUCACAGUUAGUUAUUUAUUAAAUAAUUAUUUUUUAUUGUUAGAAUAUUAUUCUUCUCGAAGUAGUUAUUUUAUAUCGAGUUUUAUUCCACAAACGGGGAAAUUUAUUAAUUUUUUGGAGAAAUUUUCAAUACAUGUAUCCAUCCAGAUAUUUGUUACAUUUUUUAAACUUCUUUUAAUAAUUAAGAAACAGAAAUAGUUUCCAUUUCUUGAUUUGUUUUAUAAACGAAGGAAAAACAAACUUUUUAAUAUUUUUGAAACGUGAAAAUACAAGGUUUAACCGGAUUUAAGAUAAUUUUUUACUUCCAAAUAUAUUCAGGAGCACCUAUCUGCACAUACAAAGGACCAUCGGUAGUUCCUUUACUUAGACGGGAUUCUAACACACAAAAAAAAGUAAAAUUUCUGUCGAUUAAAUAAAAAAGAAAAAAGAAAAUUAGAUUUUCAUUGUACACAGUCAUUUUCCUAUGCACAUUUAAGGGGAAUGUGUGAAGAGAUUGCAUGUUUACUUUUAUUGUUGAUAUAUGCACAUUCGCGACAGCUUCGAUCCCGAAAAAUCAGGGAUUAUGCCAGUUGUAUAUAUUAUAUGUACAAAAUAUGUAUAUGUAUGAAAGACAUAUGGCAUAUGCCAAAAAAAAAUAUUUGUUAAAAAAUAAUAAUAAAAAAAACGACGAGAUUUGGUGGUGUGAAGUUUUAAUUCUGCGUGUUGUUUUUUAAAAUGUGAGAUAAUACGAAGCGAAGCUUAAAAAAUGAUAAAAUUAUUGGUUUAUUUUCUUAAAAACUGUUAUUAGGUUACUUGAAAUUCGUCCAAGAUUCGCUUUAGUAAUGAACUUCUCUAUAUAUCAGUAAUGUAGAAGAUAGUUCAACCACAAUGAGAUCAUUAGUCAGCCUUGUCUGCCAGAUAAUUGAACGUAAAGAUGGCGAAGUGAAGAUAAAACUGCUUUCGUUAGCCAAGGUCGACUCGGAAAAUAAUCCGAGUUCUACAGCACUUUUUUUUAAUUAAAUGUGGAAUAUAAAAAAUAAAGUUAAUUUAAAAUCAAGAAAUAUGGUUUUUAGAGCAAAAAAUAUAGAUAUAAAAGUAAGUCCAUCAUAAGGGUCG
Molecule: long non-coding RNA, 1118 nt
Filed under: Androctonus crassicauda
Lineage: Eukaryota; Metazoa; Arthropoda; Arachnida; Scorpiones; Buthidae
Source: RNAcentral